GACAAUUUAAUAUACAUAUUCAUCAAAAGAACUAAAGCGAUAAAUACUUACUGAAGAGGCACUUAGUCCUCACAACGAAGAAAUCUGCAGCGGAAAAAUAAAAAUAAAAUCUGGCAAAGCUUCGGCUCCACUCCCACAGCAGCUCAACUGGGGUAUAAGCUAAGCAUCUUCUCCUUCUGGAUCAUUUUUCUUCAACUGAGAUUUGAUUGAUUAUUGCAAGGUGAGUACAUGGAAUACUCCGCAAGCCACACAGCAAAUAUGCAAGUGCACACGGAUACCAAAGGAUGGCAUAAUAUAGGCUCAUUUGCAAAAGCAGCAUUUAGCAAACAUUUAGGAGUAGUAAAUAAGUAGAGUAAUUAAUCAUCAAUAUUAAUCAACACUGAAUAGCACACCCAUGCUGCAGGCCCAACCAAACCUGAACAACCAACCCCGGUCGUACAGAUCAAACCUCUAAACCAGGAAUUUACCAUUCCAAACCAGGAGUCAAAUUAAUUAUCACAUUAUUAUCAUUAAUGAGUAGUGUGGGACUAAUCACGAAAAACAUUGCUCAACCCACCCAUAACCGCGGGCAUGGCUAUUCAAAUAGUUUUACUCUGGCCAGAGGUGUACAAAUUUACCCACAAGACAUAACUCCACAAUAUGUCACCAUAUCACCAUGUGCCCAUGCUGAACAUGCCACCAUUUGUGUAGUUGUGACAAGACCCCUCGCAUAGCUCAACUCAAAGCAGCGCACCUUUCCUGGAUCAUAAUCACCCCCUCUACAACCAGAGGCGUGGACUCCCCAGCGACCCCCACGGACUUCUCGCCGCUUCACAGUCUAGCGCCCCACAAUGAGCCUUGCUAUACAAAGUGUCCAGCCGUUGCCCAUUCUGGCUUGUGAUUAGUACGGUUAAUGUCUCACAACAGUAGCUUGCGAACCGGUCCUUAAUUGUCAUGAGCAUGACCUUCAAAACCAUGUGCUCACAACCCACCAUUAUCAAGUUUUAAUUAUCAAUUAUUUAUCACAACACGAUUAACCAUCGUGAGCUACCAUAAAGUAUCCAUCAUUAAGUAAUAGUGAAACAUUAAUCAUCCCAAUAGUAUGCUAGUGUUUCUAAGCAUGACUAAGCAAUUAUUCUAAUAUAUAGUCGAACCAAUAUAUAAAGUCCAACUAGUCAAAUUAUAACCCAAGGUAUCAAAGAAUAGGGUAAUCAAUGCAAAUUGGCCAUAACAAAUGAAUAGGUUCACACCACCCGGUGACAUUUAAAAAUAAAUGCAUAGUUGAAAUAAAUAGAGAAUUUAAAUAUAGGAGCAACAUGCUCAAAUGAUUGUGUUUAGGAUCUGUGUGACUUGCCUUGCAAUAAUCGGUCUUCAAUUAGUCUUCUUGAACACUUCUGACGCACUCACGAACCUUCACAACGACGGAAAUGACAAGCUAACAUUUAUAACGGAGAAAAAACUAAUAAAAACCAAAUAAACAGUACUAAAAAGUAAACAAACAUGUAGAUCAUGAUUUUAGAUGAAUUUAGAGACUUGAACGGCCUCAUUCCGACUUCAUAUGAAUUAGUUAUGAAUUUUACAAAAUUAAUUCCAAUUAAACCUAUUAAAGAAAACACUAUUCCAAAUUGAUUAAACAAUUUACAAACGAUUUAUACUGAGAUUAAAGAUUAAAACAUCCUCCGAAAAUUAUUGGAACUAAUUUAGUGGAUGAUAUAUAGUAAAAAGAACUAAUAUGCCAUUGAAAAGGGAUAACAUGAUUUAUAUUGACUUUGGAUGGCUGAGAUUAAUCUUGACCGAGUCGACCAAGAUCGGAUGGUUUGGAUUGAUCUGGCAAGCUGGCCUCACGAGAUACCGACUCAACGAGUCAAUUCUACGUGACACGGGAUCACCGAAAUGAUUAACCGAAACCGGCGGCUCUGAACGGCUCUAAACUAAAGGACGACUCAACAUGGACGAACGAACGAAGCACGGGGAACACCUCGUUCGAACGAACGAGCAAACGACUCAACAAUGGUUGCGGCUAAACCGAUGAGCUAGACACGAUUCACGGUAAAACCCUGGUACGACAAACGAUAGGCCGGUAGAAACCUAGGGAUGCACCUACGGCUUUGCAACUCGGCUAACGGACUACGGGAAGCAAACAAACCACGAUGACGAUGACGUGGGAUAGAGGCGGCGUUGCACAAUUUGGAGCAACGACUAAGCAGCGACAGUGACACGGUUUAGCAGCGGCACGACUGCGUCAACGACUUGGCAAGGCGCGGCAGCAGCAACGACUCAACAAUGACUUAGCAAGAUGGCUACCGAGCUACGGCAACGCGGCAGCGACACAACGCAGCAGCAAGUGGCUCGGUCGCUGCGGUAGCGGGACGACAUCGACUUUUGGCACGCACGAGCAGCAGCUACACAGCUGUGGCAGGGAGCGGUACAACGGCGGCUAGGCGGCUAGCGCAGCGGCAAUGCUAAGCCAACAGCUAAGCGCGGCACGGCGGCGGCUACUCAACGACACAAACAAGAGAUUAAAACCUAAACUGAGGGAACACAGAUAGAAACCUCACCAAACCAAAGCGAUCGGAGAGGGAGAGACGGCGAUGACUACCCGGCGGCAACACACGGAGACGACGAUGACGCUAGACAUACAGCGGAUUAGAUUAGAUUGGAUUAAUACCCUAGGAAAAAAACCUAAAUCGGUGAACGGCAUGGGAGCGGUGGUUGCAGGCGAACCACGGCACAAUAAUGCAAACGAGGGCACCGGGAGAAAGAGAAGGCGACGGCGAUUCUUACCAACACUUAUGCGACGACGAACAGUGAAGGAGAUGGCCGGCGACGGACUCCAAAGGGCGGCGAGGUUCGGGUCCACGGCAGCGACGAUUUUCCGGCGACGAGCAGCGGCAACGGAUGGAUGGACGGGCUUCUCCCCGGCUGCGACGCUGUGGGUGGCGACGGCAAAGCUUGGCGACGACGGAAGGAGCAGUAGGGCCUCGCCGGAGAUCAAAACGCGACGGCGAACUUCGGGUUGACGGCGACGAUGGAGCUCCGGUGGGUUUCGGCUACGGGGAAGGGGUGGACGGGGUGGAGCUUGACCUUGCGGAGCCGAGAGAGGCGACGGCGUAGGUCGUCGACGGCUGAGGCGGCUGCUAGGGGCGGCUGGAGCGGCUGCCGGCGGUGGACGGAGAAGACGAACGCGGCGACGGCGCUACAAGCGACGGCGGAGAGAGGGAGAGGUGGCGGCCGAAAGAGGAGAGGGAGGGAACUCUAUUUAUAGCCAUGGGAGAGAGAUAUCGAUCCUACAACGAGAGAAUCGAAGCCGGGAUUUUCUAGAGUUUGGUUUGGAGAGAUAAACUCGAAAACGAAUCCAAAUUCGCAUCGAAUUCAAAGGGAUAAAACCGGAUUUUUGGGGGAAGAGAUAGAGGAGGAUAAGGGGGAUAUUUUGCCUCAACUAAUUUUGGAAAUACACGAGAGAGGAGGCCGGAGUUGGAGGGGGAAGGCGGCGGCAAUGGCGGCAUCGGGCUCUGUCUCCGGCCGGCUGGAGGUUAGGGGCGACUACUGUAGCAGAGGGAAGGAAA
Molecule: long non-coding RNA, 3545 nt
Filed under: Oryza sativa (Asian cultivated rice)
Lineage: Eukaryota; Viridiplantae; Streptophyta; Magnoliopsida; Poales; Poaceae
Description: long non-coding RNA (OSAT_LNC000330)
Source: RNAcentral